This 81-nucleotide transfer RNA is filed under the name Parageobacillus thermoglucosidasius. RNAcentral describes it as "tRNA-Gln". It matches the Rfam family "tRNA". From Rfam's summary of the family: Transfer RNA (tRNA) molecules are approximately 80 nucleotides in length. The record is from RNAcentral. Lineage: Bacteria; Bacillati; Bacillota; Bacilli; Caryophanales; Anoxybacillaceae.
UGGGCUAUAGCCAAGCGGUAAGGCAACGGACUUUGACUCCGUGAUGCGNCUCCGGUGUGGGUUCGAUUCCUACUGCCCCUG